Molecule: non-coding RNA, 213 nt
Organism: Cyanistes caeruleus (blue tit)
Lineage: Eukaryota; Metazoa; Chordata; Aves; Passeriformes; Paridae
Source: RefSeq, a predicted model, not a curated record
GGCGGCUCCGAGCUCGCAGUCGGUGCUGGACCAGCAGCGGGAGAUGGCCCGGAAGAGGGAGCAGGAGAGGAGGCGCCGGGAAGCGAUGGCGGCGACGAUCGACAUGAACUUCCAGAGCGACCUCCUGGCCAUUUUCGAGGAGAAUCUUUUCUAGGAGAGGCGAUUCCGGCCGGGAAUUUGACUCUUUCCCAAAAAAAAAAAAAUACCACAAAA